AGAGGCCCCAUCUCAGCAACGCAAGCCCCUUCCUAAUUUACUCACCAGAAUCAAGCUGCCUUAACCUUUUGUGGAGCGGGAAGGGCAGGAGGACAGACAAAGGACUUGGUCACACACAAUAGUUAGCUUCUCUGUGAUGUGCUUUCUAAACUUUGGGGAUUAAUCAGUGCAGAUUGAUGGUGUUGCCCAAGUUUGUCCUUGUGUUAGCUGUUCUGCAGGGGGUCUUCAUGGAUCUCGGUGGAAUUUUUCUCAAGCUUCUAUGAUCAACUAGUGUGCUGGCUGGCAGGAUCCCUGGCCUAGAGCGCUGCCAUGGGAAGCUCUCUCCUACUUGGCCCCUCAUCUUGCUUCAAGCCAGCCCCUGAGGUAGCACAUCAAGAGAAAGAGAAGCCAAAACCUGGGCUUGAAUCCACAGCUAGCACUCAUCCAACAUCCUGCUGACCAAGCGAACCAUGUGGUCAGGUCAGGAGAUGGCGAAGCAGAAUUCACUUCUGAUGUCACAGAGUGCCAGAGACGAGGACAUAGAUACAAAAUGGAUGAAGAGUUAGGGAUACUGAUGAAGUCUGUCAGCCAUGGCGUGAGAAGACAGUGGGAGAACUAACCCGGGAAGAAGAUGACCAGGCUCACAGUGAAGAAGACAGAACUUGCUCCCUGAUCCUGUGUCUCCUGCCCGUGUUCUCUCAUCCUUUCCUCAAGCACUGGAACAUUUAUUUGAUGUUUGUGUAGGAACAUUUGGUCUUGUCUGCGGAACCAAGGGUCUUUUCACCAUAGGCAUUUUGUGCAUCUUGGCAGAGUUACAACAUGUCUUACUUUCCCUUAGGAGAAAUUAAAGAUUCCUACUGGCUAUUUACUCCCAGAAAGGAUGCCCCAGAGUCUUAGUUCUAAGGAUAGGGUGUUUCUAAUCUACAUUUUCUUUUUUUUGUCUUCUAAUACUAUGGUGAAAAUAAUAAAGUAAAUAUUGAAAUCUCC
RNAcentral lists this long non-coding RNA (966 nucleotides) under Mus musculus (house mouse). RNAcentral's name for it is "long non-coding RNA chr6:50909769-50910735". The record is from RNAcentral. Lineage: Eukaryota; Metazoa; Chordata; Mammalia; Rodentia; Muridae.